UACCACAACAAGAGGACAUAGUCUUAAAUUAGAGGGACAAAGGUUUAAAAAUAAUAUCAGGAAGUAUUACUUUACUGAGAGGGUAGUUGAUGCAUGGAAUAGCCUUCCAGCUGAAGUGGUAGAGGUUAACACAGUAAAGGAGUUUAAGAAUGCGUGGGAUAGGCAUAAGGCUAUCCUAACUAUAAGAUAAGGCUAGGGACUAAUGAAAGUAUUUAGAAAAUUGGGCAGACUAGAUGGGCCGAAUGGUUCUUAUCUGCCGUCACAUUCUAUGUUUACGCCUAUAAAGUGAGCAGUAUAUUCCUGCUCACUUAUAUGUGAGUAGUAUACCUUUCUAAUAUUUUUAUCCGUUAUUGCGGUAUACAGAGAGCACUAUUUGUUUUUAUCUUUUUCUUCAUACCGAGGACCUGUACCCACCAACACCUAUUCCUACCACUGGGGGAUCAAUGCCACUGAAUGCUAUACACUCCUGAGCUGGCUAAAGUUCUACAAUAGGUGAGUGACAAGAAUUGUUUUUUACUGCCAUCAUCUUUCCAGUACAGUUUUACACUAUUGGAAUCUCUCUCUCUUAUCUGCAUGCUUCCACAUUAUCCGGAUACCUGAUUUAUUUGGAUCCCACAAGCCCCAUCGAUUCCACCUACUUAUCUCUUCAAUCAAACUUGGACUACUGUUUAUUUUAUACUGUUUUCGGGACUUUAUUCUAUUUUUAUCAAUUUUUAUGUAAGUACACAUUGUUUUUACUAUUAUUGUAUUACAAUUUACUAUGUAUGGGGGCUGCUUGUGGAAUUGUGUCUGUGGAUGAUAUGUCACAUUGUGUGUUUGGUGAUGUGUUUGUAUAUAUUAUAUGAGGGGGAGGCUUAUUCUGCAGUUCUGUGUAGCAUGGGUUGCUUCCCUUGGGUCCAGUGGGGGCUGCAAUAGCUGCUGCAGGG
Molecule: non-coding RNA, 926 nt
Organism: Pelobates cultripes (western spadefoot toad)
Lineage: Eukaryota; Metazoa; Chordata; Amphibia; Anura; Pelobatidae
Source: the annotation of a GenBank genome assembly